ACGGUCAUAUCACGUCGAAACAUCGGUUCUCAUACGAUCACCGAAGUUAAGCUACGUCGAACCUGCCCGUUACCUAAAAGGGUGACUGCUCGGGAAUAUCAGAUGCUGUAAG
Acanthosepion pharaonis is the source of this 112-nucleotide non-coding RNA. The record is from the annotation of a GenBank genome assembly. Lineage: Eukaryota; Metazoa; Mollusca; Cephalopoda; Sepiida; Sepiidae.